UUAGUUUGAAUUCUGACAAAAAAGGUAGGACUAGAUUCUUUGCAGCUAUACAAAAGGUUUAAAGAUAAAAAGUAAUUUGAUGUAUUAGUUGUUUCAAAGAAAUUAAUAGUACAACUAAGAGCAAAUAACUGACCAAUUAAAAUGACCAUAUGUAUCUGGCCAAACAUAUAAGGAAAUUUAAAAGAAAAUAACAAGUGGCAUUUUGUCACCUCAUGCCACCUUUAGCAAUACCAUCGACAUUAUUACAAACACCUAAUGAAAUGAUUCAAAAAGUCCAGAAAUGUUGAACUACAACUACAAGAUUUAGAGCAUCAACAGAAAAAGGAAGAUAAUUCAGAUUAAGCAAAUUUGAGAGUUCAACAUAAGAAGUAUUCUACACCACUUUACCUUGAUUUUGAACGAGUUCUGCUGGAUGAACAAUGGAAGCUGAAGCUGAAACAUCAGAAGCCCCAGCUUUAGUGGUAAGCAAGAUCAUCUCUUUAUUUUGUUGACUAGUCUUUUUUUUCCUUUUUCGUUUUUGGUGUUCUUCGAUGUAACAGGCUAUCUGUAGGCAGAAUAAACACCACCCAAGAUCAGAUGUGUUUUUUAUUUUUAUUUUUUUGCUUUGAACAGCCAGAUCAAAAAAUUAGUUAAAAAUACUCCUCUGGAAACAACUUUUUAGCAUGAGAUAACUGCAAAGAAUAACACAAGCAUCAAAAUGCUUUCUAGAAGAUUAGCUCUUGCUUAAAUUUAAACCUUGAUUUGCAUAGAAAUGAAAAUUGCAUAGCAGUUGUAUUGAUCGGAUCCUGACUUUGCAUUAGUUGAAAGCCUGAAACUUGAGUGCUUCUGUUAAACUUUUUGAAUUUGUUCUUUUCUCCCUCUUGUUUUCCAGCAUUCCAUUGUGUAUUAAAUCAUGGUUCUAAUCUGGCAGAAGAGCUUGUCAAAUCAUUUUUAAAAAUCCUUUUAUAUCUUCUUCUUGUUUUAAUCAUGAAAAUAAAAAUAAUAGAUAACAGAAAUGGUGAUUGGUGUGUUAAUAUUUGAAAAUACCACUGUUAGUUUACUAGUUUUUAUCAGAUUCUGUAAGUUGCAUCGCAUUUUUCUAGUAGCUUUAGUUAUGCGAAUGAGGGGUUUAAGUUAACACUUCAAAAUAAUAGGUGGACUUGAUACAUUUUUUUCUGAAAGAAAGGGAAUAUGCUGAAAUCAUGAACUAAGCUGUCGUUAUUUACAGCUUGACUCCUCCCCAAGUAGCUAAUUCAUGUAAAUAGCUUAUAGUCAAGGUAGUUAAAAGGUACCUAUAGGGCUGACCACUAAGACGGCCUACCAACAACAUUUGAUAUCUGAAUAUCUAAGAUGGCCCACCGAGUAGAAUGAUGCAUCAUGCAUCUAACAACUUACAUGUUUAAAUUCCGAUUUAAUGAAUAAACUAGGAUGAAUAUAAAAAAUAUUUUAUGGACCUUUUGUUCUAGUCAGCUGACAUGUAAUGGUAUGAUCACUGGAUUAACCAUUCGAAUUAAAAUGUUCAGAUGUUCCAAUCGGCUUUAAGAGGUAACAUCCAUUCAUAAGGUCAAUAGGUUGAGACAGUAGUCGCAUCCGGCCAAUCAAUUAUGUCUGUACAUGGACCAACAGAAGUUCAUAGUAUCGGCUAAAAGAAAACAUGAUUCCAUGCUUCAAAAUGGAUAGUAAUAGGACUAAUGUCGAUCCUAUCUCUAUUACAGUAUAUAAUAAAAGAGAAAACAAACUUAAAGGAAAGGUACGUACCAUUAUACUUGUAGGUUUGCCAAAUCAUCAAGACAUAACACACAAGUCCUUGAAGCAAUGGAUUUGUGGUUCAGUCGACAAGUUAUAUAGUUCAACUGGAGCAU
This 1841-nucleotide long non-coding RNA is filed under the name Aquilegia coerulea. RNAcentral's name for it is "long non-coding RNA (ACOE_LNC001018)". The record is from RNAcentral. Lineage: Eukaryota; Viridiplantae; Streptophyta; Magnoliopsida; Ranunculales; Ranunculaceae.